This 76-nucleotide transfer RNA is filed under the name Fusibacter ferrireducens. RNAcentral describes it as "tRNA-Lys". It matches the Rfam family "tRNA". From Rfam's summary of the family: Transfer RNA (tRNA) molecules are approximately 80 nucleotides in length. Lineage: Bacteria; Bacillati; Bacillota; Clostridia; Eubacteriales; Fusibacteraceae. The record is from RNAcentral.
GGUCCAUUAGCUUAGUUGGUAGAGCACCUGACUCUUAAUCAGGGGGUCCCGCGUUCGAGUCGCGGAUGGAUCACCA